RNAcentral lists this unclassified non-coding RNA (276 nucleotides) under Hevea brasiliensis (rubber tree). Lineage: Eukaryota; Viridiplantae; Streptophyta; Magnoliopsida; Malpighiales; Euphorbiaceae. The record is from RNAcentral.
AUUAUCGCCCAUUAUUUCCUCUGCAUCUGUACUCUCUUUUACCUAAUCCAAACAAGAAAAAUUUUACUGGUUUAGAAACGAGAAGCAACGUAUCAGAAUCAAGAACAUGUCCUUAUUGGAGGAGGAGCUAUUCCCGUCGACUCCUGGCAAGUUCAAGAUCGACCGUGGACACACCAUGAGUCGUCAUUUCCAUCGUUGUUUUGCCUCUACAAGCACCAUGUUCUUGUGGGCUCUUUUCUUGAUUGCUUUGACCGCUUCCUACUUGAGUUUCCAGAG